RNAcentral lists this long non-coding RNA (642 nucleotides) under Marmota monax (woodchuck). The record is from RNAcentral. Lineage: Eukaryota; Metazoa; Chordata; Mammalia; Rodentia; Sciuridae.
CUGCUGUGUGGCCCUUCCUACACCACUCUGUCUAUACUACCGCAGUGCACAAGUGGACAUGCAGAGCGGGCGGCUUCUGCUUGGAGUCCUCAGGACCACGUGGUCUGGUUGGCUCUUGAGUGCACAUGCGUUAAGUGAUAGGUGGACAGAGCACGCAUCCCAGUUCCUCUGCUAGGACUCUUCACGGUUCACGGAGAGUGGGCUCGCCCUCUGGGCCAGUGUCCUCCAGGUUGGAGUUCUGAGAGCCUGCCUUCAGGUUCCUUCACCUGACCUUCCUGCGACCUUCUCCACAUGAUGACAGGGGCCUCUCCACAUGCUGACACAGGGGUGCCUGGAACAGGAAGGGCCACCCCCACCCCGCUCCUUCUGCACCUUCCUCCUCCUCCCCUCCAUCUUCCUCCUCCUCUCCUCCACCUUCCUCCUCCUCCUCUCCACCUUCCUCCUCCUCCUCUCCUCCACCUUCCUCCUCCUCCUCUCCUCCACCUUCCUCCUCCUCCUCCUCCUCCUCCCCUCCACCUUCCUCCUCCUCCUCCCCUCCACCUUCCUCCUCCUCCUCCCCUCCACCUUCCUCCUCCUCUCCUCCACCUUCCUCCUCCUUUUCUCCACCUUCUCUCCUCCUCCCUCCUUCCUUCCUUCCUUCCU